Molecule: ribosomal RNA, 467 nt
Filed under: uncultured bacterium
Lineage: Bacteria
Description: partial 16S ribosomal RNA
Rfam family: Bacterial small subunit ribosomal RNA
Source: RNAcentral
ACGAACGCUGGCGGCGUGCUUCACACAUGCAAGUCGAACGGAAAGGCCCUGCUUUUGUGGGGUGCUCGAGUGGCGAACGGGUGAGUAACACGUGAGUAACCUGCCCUUGACUUUGGGAUAACUUCAGGAAACUGGGGCUAAUACCGGAUAGGAGCUCCUGCUGCAUGGUGGGGGUUGGAAAGUUUCGGCGGUUGGGGAUGGACUCGCGGCUUAUCAGCUUGUUGGUGGGGUAGUGGCUUACCAAGGCUUUGACGGGUAGCCGGCCUGAGAGGGUGACCGGCCACAUUGGGACUGAGAUACGGCCCAGACUCCUACGGGAGGCAGCAGUGGGGAAUAUUGCACAAUGGGCGGAAGCCUGAUGCAGCAACGCCGCGUGCGGGAUGACGGCCUUCGGGUUGUAAACCGCUUUCGCCUGUGACGAAGCGUGAGUGACGGUCAUGGGUAAAGAAGCACCGGCUAACUACGUG